This is a non-coding RNA of Podarcis muralis (Common wall lizard), 926 nucleotides long. Lineage: Eukaryota; Metazoa; Chordata; Lepidosauria; Squamata; Lacertidae. The record is from RefSeq and is a predicted model, not a curated record.
AUGACUUUCUGCCAGCAGCUAAAGACCUCUUUAUUUAGACAGGACUUUGAACCAUAAACUGAUUUAAGCCAUAACUCUGCCAUAUCUCCUGAAGCAACCUUGAAUCCAUGCAGACAUUCUGAGCCAGGAGAGCCCUUAUCAGAGGGUGGACAUGAGACCCUGGCCUUAUACCGAGUCCUAGGUCAGCCUCCAUCUGGGAUACUGCAACAAGGCCAGGGAAAGGGCCAUCUGCACCCAAGCUUGGAUCCUGACCUUGAACUGCUCUGAUGUUGCCUCCUGCCUUUUGCAAGCUCAGCUUGCUUGGACUCUGGCCCUGGAUGCUGCUCUGUCUGCUUGCCCCAUGGGUAUUGUUGCUGGUAUGUCCCCUGUUUACUUAAGAGCCUAGUGUGAGCAGGACACCUUCUUUUAUUUACAGGGUGAUGGGUGAUUAGACAGUAGUUCUGCCUCCAGAACCUGCCGCCUCAUCCUGUGAUGCCAUCUGUGUUCCCCUCCCUCCUCCAAACUCCAAGCUCUCAUCACCUUCUAAUGAUGUUCCGUGCUCACUCCUUCCUGCACCAUGUAAUCAAUAUGUCUCUAGGUCAAUAUGUGCAUAGGUCACAGGUGGAGCCAACUCCAAUCAUCCUACUCCUCUUUGUCUAUAGGGCUGAUGAGUUAAAGGCAAACAACCCCUGGAGGGCCACAGGUUCAUCACUACUUCCCUGGGAAUGGCUACAAUACGAGUCCACCUGUACUACUUUACUGCUCCUCUGUGUCAGAUAACUGUGGAACGAGUGUACUUUUUUAUCUCCUGCCUGAAAUUCAUCAACAUCGUAAGACAGAAUUUGCGCUUUCCAGAAUUAAUAAUUACUUUCAAAGAUGUUUUUGAGGAAUAUCUAAGUGAAAGAGUUGUACGAUUGCUGUCAUGAGAAAAUCUUGUAAAAAAUAUU